RNAcentral lists this ribosomal RNA (2903 nucleotides) under Enterobacter hormaechei subsp. hoffmannii. RNAcentral's name for it is "bacterial LSU rRNA". It matches the Rfam family "Bacterial large subunit ribosomal RNA". The record is from RNAcentral. Lineage: Bacteria; Pseudomonadati; Pseudomonadota; Gammaproteobacteria; Enterobacterales; Enterobacteriaceae.
UUAAGCGACUAAGCGUACACGGUGGAUGCCCUGGCAGUCAGAGGCGAUGAAGGACGUGCUAAUCUGCGAAAAGCGCCGGCGAGGUGAUAUGAACCUUUGACCCGGCGAUGUCCGAAUGGGGAAACCCAGUGCAAUCCGUUGCACUAUCGUUAACUGAAUACAUAGGUUAACGAGGCGAACCGGGGGAACUGAAACAUCUAAGUACCCCGAGGAAAAGAAAUCAACCGAGAUUCCCCCAGUAGCGGCGAGCGAACGGGGAGCAGCCCGGAGUCUGAAUCAGCUUGUGUGUUAGUGGAACGGUCUGGAAAGUCCGGCGAUACAGGGUGAUAGCCCCGUACACGAAAGCACACAUGCUGUGAACUCGAAGAGUAGGGCGGGACACGUGGUAUCCUGUCUGAAUAUGGGGGGACCAUCCUCCAAGGCUAAAUACUCCUGACUGACCGAUAGUGAACCAGUACCGUGAGGGAAAGGCGAAAAGAACCCCGGCGAGGGGAGUGAAAAAGAACCUGAAACCGUGUACGUACAAGCAGUGGGAGCCUCUUUAUGGGGUGACUGCGUACCUUUUGUAUAAUGGGUCAGCGACUUAUAUUCUGUAGCAAGGUUAACCGUAUAGGGGAGCCGAAGGGAAACCGAGUCUUAACUGGGCGUUAAGUUGCAGGGUAUAGACCCGAAACCCGGUGAUCUAGCCAUGGGCAGGUUGAAGGUUGGGUAACACUAACUGGAGGACCGAACCGACUAAUGUUGAAAAAUUAGCGGAUGACCUGUGGCUGGGGGUGAAAGGCCAAUCAAACCGGGAGAUAGCUGGUUCUCCCCGAAAGCUAUUUAGGUAGCGCCUCGUGAACUCAUCUUCGGGGGUAGAGCACUGUUUCGGCUAGGGGGCCAUCCCGGCUUACCAACCCGAUGCAAACUACGAAUACCGAAGAAUGUUAUCACGGGAGACACACGGCGGGUGCUAACGUCCGUCGUGAAGAGGGAAACAACCCAGACCGCCAGCUAAGGUCCCAAAGUCAUGGUUAAGUGGGAAACGAUGUGGGAAGGCACAGACAGCCAGGAUGUUGGCUUAGAAGCAGCCAUCAUUUAAAGAAAGCGUAAUAGCUCACUGGUCGAGUCGGCCUGCGCGGAAGAUGUAACGGGGCUAAACCAUGCACCGAAGCUGCGGCAGCGACACUAUGUGUUGUUGGGUAGGGGAGCGUUCUGUAAGCCGUUGAAGGUGUGCUGUGAGGCAUGCUGGAGGUAUCAGAAGUGCGAAUGCUGACAUAAGUAACGAUAAAGCGGGUGAAAAGCCCGCUCGCCGGAAGACCAAGGGUUCCUGUCCAACGUUAAUCGGGGCAGGGUGAGUCGACCCCUAAGGCGAGGCCGAAAGGCGUAGUCGAUGGGAAACAGGUUAAUAUUCCUGUACUUGGUGUUACUGCGAAGGGGGGACGGAGAAGGCUAUGUCAGCCGGGCGACGGUUGUCCCGGUUUAAGCAUGUAGGCGGAGGUUCCAGGUAAAUCCGGUACCUUGUUAACGCUGAGGUGUGAUGACGAGGCACUACGGUGCUGAAGUGAUAAAUGCCCUGCUUCCAGGAAAAGCCUCUAAGCAUCAGGUAACACGAAAUCGUACCCCAAACCGACACAGGUGGUCAGGUAGAGAAUACCAAGGCGCUUGAGAGAACUCGGGUGAAGGAACUAGGCAAAAUGGUGCCGUAACUUCGGGAGAAGGCACGCUGAUAUGUAGGUGAAGCCCCUGCGGGCGGAGCUGAAAUCAGUCGAAGAUACCAGCUGGCUGCAACUGUUUAUUAAAAACACAGCACUGUGCAAACACGAAAGUGGACGUAUACGGUGUGACGCCUGCCCGGUGCCGGAAGGUUAAUUGAUGGGGUUAGCGGCAACGCGAAGCUCUUGAUCGAAGCCCCGGUAAACGGCGGCCGUAACUAUAACGGUCCUAAGGUAGCGAAAUUCCUUGUCGGGUAAGUUCCGACCUGCACGAAUGGCGUAAUGAUGGCCAGGCUGUCUCCACCCGAGACUCAGUGAAAUUGAACUCGCUGUGAAGAUGCAGUGUACCCGCGGCAAGACGGAAAGACCCCGUGAACCUUUACUAUAGCUUGACACUGAACACUGGUCCUUGAUGUGUAGGAUAGGUGGGAGGCUUUGAAGCGUGGACGCCAGUCUGCGUGGAGCCAACCUUGAAAUACCACCCUUUAAUGGCUGGUGUUCUAACGUAGACCCGUAAUCCGGGUUGCGGACAGUGUCUGGUGGGUAGUUUGACUGGGGCGGUCUCCUCCCAAAGAGUAACGGAGGAGCACGAAGGUUGGCUAAUCCUGGUCGGACAUCAGGAGGUUAGUGCAAUGGCAUAAGCCAGCUUGACUGCGAGCGUGACGGCGCGAGCAGGUGCGAAAGCAGGUCAUAGUGAUCCGGUGGUUCUGAAUGGAAGGGCCAUCGCUCAACGGAUAAAAGGUACUCCGGGGAUAACAGGCUGAUACCGCCCAAGAGUUCAUAUCGACGGCGGUGUUUGGCACCUCGAUGUCGGCUCAUCACAUCCUGGGGCUGAAGUAGGUCCCAAGGGUAUGGCUGUUCGCCAUUUAAAGUGGUACGCGAGCUGGGUUUAGAACGUCGUGAGACAGUUCGGUCCCUAUCUGCCGUGGGCGCUGGAGAAUUGAGGGGGGCUGCUCCUAGUACGAGAGGACCGGAGUGGACGCAUCACUGGUGUUCGGGUUGUCAUGCCAAUGGCACUGCCCGGUAGCUAAAUGCGGAAGAGAUAAGUGCUGAAAGCAUCUAAGCACGAAACUUGCCCCGAGAUGAGUUCUCCCUGAGACUUUAAGUCUCCUGAAGGAACGUUGAAGACGACGACGUUGAUAGGUCGGGUGUGUAAGCGCAGCGAUGCGUUGAGCUAACCGAUACUAAUGAACCGUGAGGCUUAACCUU